GACGAAGGGGGCUAGCGUUGUUCGGAAUUACUGGGCGUAAAGCGCGUGUAGGCGGUUGCCCAAGUCGGGUGUGAAAGCCUUGAGCUCAACUCAAGAAAUGCACUCGGUACUGGGUGACUAGAGGACCGGAGAGGAUAGUGGAAUUCCCAGUGUAGUGGUGAAAUACGUAGAGAUUGGGAAGAACACCAGUGGCGAAGGCGGUUCUCUGGGACGGUACUGACGCUGAGACGCGAAAGCGUGGGGAGCGAACAGG
This 253-nucleotide ribosomal RNA is filed under the name uncultured bacterium. RNAcentral describes it as "partial 16S ribosomal RNA". It matches the Rfam family "Bacterial small subunit ribosomal RNA", at positions 524 to 776 of the family's 1533-position model. The record is from RNAcentral.